GACGAACGCUGGCGGCGUGCCUAAUACAUGCAAGUCGAACGCAGUGGGGACGGGUGAGUAACCCGUGGGUAACCUCCCAUCAGAGGGGAUAACACUUGGAAACAGGUGCUAAACCGAUACUGAUGGAUGGACCCGCGGUGCAUUAGCUAGUUGGUGAGGUAACGGAGCACCAAGGCCACGAUGCAUAGCCGACCUUGCAGGGUGAUCGGCCACACGGGGACUGAGACGCGGCCCAGACUCCUACGGGAGGCAGCAGUAGGGAAUCUGGGGCAAUGGGCGAAAGCCUGAUCCAGCAAUGCCGGGGGUGUGAUGAAGGUUUUCGGGUCGUAAAGCUCGUUUGGCAGGGAAGCGGUAGCUGGAGAAAAAGCAACGGCUAACUACGUGCCAGCAGCCGCGGUAAUAC
RNAcentral lists this ribosomal RNA (403 nucleotides) under uncultured bacterium. RNAcentral's name for it is "partial 16S ribosomal RNA". It matches the Rfam family "Bacterial small subunit ribosomal RNA", at positions 28 to 526 of the family's 1533-position model. The record is from RNAcentral.